UCUGGUUGAUCCUGCCAGUAGUGAUAUGCUUGUUUCAAAGAUUAAGCCAUGCAUGUCUAAGUACAAAACAAUUAUGUUUGAGACCGCGAAAGGCUCAUUAUAUCAGUUAUGGUUUGUUAGAUUGUACUUGUACAGUCAAAUGUUUUACUUGGAUAACCGUAGUAAUUCUAGAGCUAAUACAUGCAAAUUGAAUUCCGGCCAGAGAUGGAAGGAAUGCUUUUAUUAGAUCAAAAUCAAUCGAUGAAAUUAUAUAUAAGUUUUUGUAUACAAAAUAUUAUUUAUUUAGUAUUUGUUUGAAAAUUUAUAUAUUCAUCGUUUUAUAAUUUUGGUGACUUCAGAAUAACUACGCUGAUCGUAUGGUCUUUAGUACCGACGAUAUAUCUUUCAAAUGUCUGCCUUAUCAACUGUCGAUGGUAGGUUAUAUGCCUACCAUGGUAGUAACGGGUAACGGGGAAUCAGGGUUCGAUUCCGGAGAGGGAGCCUGAGAAACGGCUACCACAUCUAAGGAAGGCAGCAGGCGCGCAAAUUACCCACUCCCGGCAUGGGGAGGUAGUGACGAUAAAUAACGAUACGGGACUCAUCCGAGGCCCCGUAAUCGGAAUGAGUACACUUUAAAUCCUUUAACGAGGAUCUAUUGGAGGGCAAGUCUGGUGCCAGCAGCCGCGGUAAUUCCAGCUCCAAUAGCAUAUAUUAAAGUUGUUGCGGUUAAAAAGCUCGUAGUUGAAUUUGUGUCUCGCACAUGUCAAUACAUCGCUUGUCGGUGUUUUAAAAUUGACAUGAUGUGGACGUCUUGUUAGAGAUUGAUUAUAUGGUAUGAAUUGUACAUAUAUGAGAUCAAAAUUAUUUAUAAUAUGUUUUAUAUAUAUUUAUAUUAUUAUAAUAUCUAUAUGUGUAUGAUAUAUAUGUAUAUUUAAAGCAUACCUAACCAUCGCGCGUAUACAUAUAAUUUUAUGUUAUAAAUAUUAUUGUUCCAGUAUCAAAAAURAAAAAUGAUUUNUGUCNCUUYUGAUGCAWGWGAUUAAAUMUGUGNGUGNAUAUUCAAAAAGGGAUAAAUGAAUGUAGAAAAAAUAAAUAAUGUUUNGAAUAUAUAUGAAUUUUGAAUGAUAUAUAAUUGAAAGACAGCCAUGCAAUUGAUCGAACCCACUCAUGAUUGCUNNUAAUUGAGUGUCGUGGAUGGGCUAACAUUUUUACUUUGAACAAAUUAGAGNNCUUAAAGCAGGUUUAAAUUUAUUAAUUGCCUGUAUAUUGUCGUGCAUAGAAUAAUGGAAUAAGACCUCGGUUCUAUUUUGUUGGUUUUUGGAAGUUUUUCCGAGGUAAUGAUUAAUACGGACAGAUGGGGGCAUUCGUAUUGCGACGUUAGAGGUGAAAUUCUUGGAUCGUCGCAAGACGAACAUAAGCGAAAGCAUUUGCCAAAAAUGUUUUGAUUAAUCAAGAACGAAAGUUAGAGGUUCGAAGGCGAUCAGAUACCGCCCUAGUUCUAACCAUAAACGAUGCCAGCCAGCUAUCCGUCAAUGUUCCUCCGAUGACAUGACGGGAAGCUUCCGGGAAACCAAAGCUAUUGGGUUCCGGGGGAAGUAUGGUUGCAAAGCUGAAACUUAAAGGAAUUGACGGAAGGGCACCACCAGGAGUGGAGCCUGCGGCUUAAUUUGACUCAACACGGGAAACCUCACCAGGCCCAGACACCGGAAGGAUUGACAGAUUGAUAGCUCUUUCUUGAUUCGGUGGGUGGUGGUGCAUGGCCGUUCUUAGUUGGUGGAGUGAUUUGUCUGGUUAAUUCCGAUAACGAACGAGACUCUAGCCUACUAAAUAGACGUAUAUUAUUUUUACUAGCAUCUCAAGGCUCAUCAGCUAUUUUGAUUAUUGACUAAAUUGUAUUGUGUGUGUUAUAUCAAUAAUUUUAUUAAUGUUUGUUAUUACCCAAAAAUUUUAUCAUAUAUAAUUCAAAAAAUUCCUAGUCAUAUGCGAAUCAAAAAUUAUAUAUGUCAAUCAUCUUAAAUUCAUCAUAUUAUGAAUAACUGAUUUAUUUUGCGUGUGAUGAUAUUGUUUGAUUGAUUUGUAUAUAAAUAAUAAAUGUUUCAAAAUGUGUCUUAGAAUUUUAUGUAUGAUUAUAAAAUAAAUGGUAUGAUGGAUGAUUGAUAUAUUGAUUUGUGAGAUGCCUAUACAAAUAAACAAAUUAUAUAUAACAUAUAGUCUUUUGAUGUGGUUUUUACUGCUAGCGUAAUAAAAAAGCUUCUUAGAGGGACAGGCGGCAUAUAGCCGCAUGAGAUUGAGCAAUAACAGGUCUAUGAUGCCCUUAGAUUUUUUGGGCCGCACGAGCGCUACACUGAAGAAAUCAACGUGUAUUCACCCCUUACCGAGAGGUAUGGGUAAUCCGUUGAACCUUCUUCGUGCUAGGGAUUGGGGCUUGUAAUUAUUCCCCAUGAACGAGGAAUUCCCAGUAAGCGCGAGUCAUUGAGCUUGAGUUGAUUACGUCCCUGCCCUUUGUACACACCGCCCGUCGCUACUACCGAUUGAAUGAUUUAGUGAGGUUUUCGGACUAGUGUCGACCGAUUUAUAAAAAUGUUAUGAAAAUAAUAUUUGAAUCGGGGAUUGAUGCUGGAAAGUUGACCAAACUUGAUCAUUUAGAGGAAGUAAAAGUCGUAACAAGGUUUCCGUAGGUGA
This 2661-nucleotide ribosomal RNA is filed under the name Ululodes quadripunctatus. RNAcentral's name for it is "partial 18S ribosomal RNA". It matches the Rfam family "Eukaryotic small subunit ribosomal RNA". Lineage: Eukaryota; Metazoa; Arthropoda; Insecta; Neuroptera; Myrmeleontidae. The record is from RNAcentral.